AAAGUCGUAACAAGGUCUCCGUUGGUGAACCAGCGGAGGGAUCAUUACCGAGUUUUCACACUCAGACCCGACGCGAACCUGAAACCGUUGCUUCGGCGGGCUGCCGGCAUCGCCGCGCCCGCCGAAGGUAUACCAUAGCUCUCUGUGUACCGUCCUCUGAAUACGCUUCUAAACUAGUCAAAACUUUCAACAACGGAUCUCUUGGUUCUG
Molecule: unclassified non-coding RNA, 210 nt
Filed under: Ascomycota sp.
Lineage: Eukaryota; Fungi; Ascomycota
Description: partial contains small subunit ribosomal RNA, internal transcribed spacer 1, and 5.8S ribosomal RNA
Rfam family: Eukaryotic small subunit ribosomal RNA (bases 1-47)
Source: RNAcentral